GAUGAACGCUGGCGGCGUGCCUAAUACAUGCCAGUCGAGCGAACAGACGAGGAGCUUGCUCCUCUGACGUUAGCGGCGGACGGGUGAGUAACACGUGGAUAACCUACCUAUAAGACUGGGAUAACUUCGGGAAACCGGAGCUAAUACCGGAUAAUAUAUUGAACCGCAUGGUUCAAUAGUGAAAGACGGUUUUGCUGUCACUUAUAGAUGGAUCCGCGCCUCAUUAGCUAGUUGGUAAGGUAACGGCUUACCAAGGCAACGAUGCGUAGCCGACCUGAGAGGGAGAUCGGCCACACUGGAACUGAGCCACGGUACAGACUCCUACGGGAGGCAGCAGUAGGGAAUCUUCCGCAAUGGGCGAAAGCCUGACGGAGCAACGCCGCGUGAGUGAUGAAGGUCUUCGGAUCGUAAAACUCUGUUAUUAGGGAAGAACAAAUGUGUAAGUAACUAUGCACGUCUUGACGGUACCUAAUCAGAAAGCCACGGCUAACUACGUG
Molecule: ribosomal RNA, 497 nt
Filed under: uncultured bacterium
Lineage: Bacteria
Description: partial 16S ribosomal RNA
Rfam family: Bacterial small subunit ribosomal RNA
Source: RNAcentral